CCUAUUGGGCCUGGCUGGAAUACCUCCCAUGUGUGCUCCUCCAUGUUCUUUCUACUUCUUGUAAGAAUCUGUAGAAGCCACGUGUUGAAAAUGGAAGAGUUCCAAGUUGGAAGGAGGUUGGGUGCUUCUACCACCAUUUGAGGAAGAAUUACCCACUAGCUGAUCAGGGAUCAGCCAUUCUGAACAUUACACAAGCAGGAAAUGAACUUCUAUUGUGGAAAGCAACUCCUGAUCUCCACCUUGAUUUCACAUCAGAAAGACAUCAGAGAGAUUCAGAGUGCAGCUGGGCAAUCCUCACAUUUUACACGCAAAGAAGAUAAAGCUCCGAGAGUUAGAAGCAUUGCUAGCCGUGAAACCCAGGACUCUGAGUCUACCUCUGCAGAGUGACUGCAGGCUUUCUGAAGCAUGCUAUCCUCCUGAUGGAGACUGCCCAGAAACACAGGGGCUGAAACGGCACUAGGGGCACUAGCGUGGUGUGCACAGAGUAUGAACAUGGAAAUUAUUAAUUCUAGGAAUCCAGCUGCAUUACAGCCCAAUUAUUUACUUAAUCUCAACAAUGGAAGUUUCAUACAGUUGGAGUUCAUUAAAUAAUUGUUCUAUCUUAUAAGAAAGUUGGAAUAAUGCAGUGGCUCAUUCUGUGGAUCUAAAGAAAACAAUGGACUGUGAUCUUGACCCUGAUUUCCCAAAAACGUAGACGCCUGAUUUUGAAACAAUUUCAAAGGAUCCCCAAACCCAAUGAAACUCACAAAUAAUCUACUAGGUGUUAUGGGACCCCAGAUUAAGAGUCCCUGGAGAAGAAAGACCUCAGGCUUUUAAAAAUUGACACAUGGGAUCUAAUUGAACUAAAGAGCUUCUGCACAACAAAAGAAACUAUCAUCGGAGUGAACAGGCAACCUGCAGAAUGGGAGAAAAUUUUUGCAAUCUAUCCAUCUGACAAAGGGCUAAUAUCCAGAAUCUACAAAGAACUUAAACAAAUUUACAAGUAAAAAACAAACAACCCCAUCGAAAAGUGGGCAAAGGAAAUGAACAGACACUUCUCAAAAGAAGACAUUUAUGCAGCCAACAAACAUGAAAAAAUGCUCAUCAUCACUGGUCAUUAGAGAAAUGCAAAUCAAAACCACAACAAGAUACUAUCUCACGCCAGUUAGAAUGCCAGUCAUUAAAAAGUCAGUAAAGAACAGAUGCUGGAGAGGAUGUAGAGUAAUAGGAAUGCUUUUACACUGUUGGUGGGAGUGUAAAUUAGUUCAACCAUUGGGGAAGACAGUGUGGCAAUUCCUCAAGGAUCUAGAACCAGAAAUACCAUUUGACCCAGCAAUCCCAUUACUGGGUAUGUACCCAAAAGAUUAUAAAUCAUUCUACCAUAAAGACAGAUGCACACAUAUGUUUAUUGCAGCACUAUUCACAAUAGCAAAGACUUGGAACCAACCCAAAUGUCCAUCAAUGAUAGACUGGAUAAAGAAAAUGUGGCACAUAUACACCAUGGAAUACUAUGCAGCCAUAAAAAAGGAUGAGUUCGUGUCCUUUGCAGGGACAUGGAUGAAGCUGGAAACCAUCAUUCUCAGCAAACUAACACAAGAACAGAAAACCAAACACUGCAUGUUCUCUCUCAUAAGUGGGAGUUGAACAAUGAGAACACAUGGACACAGGGAAGGGAACAUCACACACUGGGGCCUGUCAGGACCCUGGGAGGAUCUAGGGGAGGGAUGGCAUUAGGAGAAAUACCUAAUGUAGAUGACGGGUUGAUGGGUGCAGCAAACCACCAUGGCAUGUGUAUACUUUGUAACAAACCUGCACAUUCUGCACAUGUAUCCCAGAACUUAAAGUAUAAUUUUUUAAAAAAAAGGAAAGAAAGAAAGACCUCAGGCCUCUUAGCUAAAAUUCUAAGGUUCAAAUCUCAGCUCCACUACUUGUUAUAUAAUCUUAACCCAUUUUCCAAACCUCUGAGCCCCCAUUUCCUCAUCUGUGAAGCGGAGGUGAUACCUCCUCCAGUUGUGGGAUUAAAGGAGAUGUGAAAUUCUAUCAUAUAGGGAUGCUGCCAGGCUUGCAGUCAGUAAUAGGGGAUAGAAACUGAGUGCUUUCUAAGCACCAGGCUCUGCCGUAUCCACUGUAUCUGCACUAUCUCAACACCACUAGGAGACAGGUACUGUUGUGAUCCCUGUUUUAUAGAUAAGAAAGCUGAGACAGAGAGGUUAAGUAUUUGCCCAAGAUGGCACACCUUCUAAAUGGCACCACCAGUCAGUGGAUUCCAGAGUCCAUGCUUCUAACCACUACAUCAUAUUAUCUCAUUAAACAAUAUAAUUUACUCCAGAAGUGUGGCUUUAAAAAAAUUAAACUCAGAGAAGGAAGCAGAAUGGAAAGAAAAAGAUAGAUCUUGGUGAGGAAUGAGUUGACCGAAAGGCCCCUUUGCCAACCUGUCCAUUUUGUCCCUUUUUAGGGACAGAUGCAGAAAAGCAGUGUCCUGAGCUCUGGGCAGCAGAUGGCCCUGAAGCUCCAUCUCACCCAGGUUGUGGCUGGCCGGUGCCUUGAAGACACAUUUCAUGUGCAGGCACUGCCCGAAAAUGCUUUGCAAAAAUCAUCCUAUUCAAUUCAUCCCACACACUCACAGUGCUAUGAGACAGAGGCUACCACUAGCUCCAUUUUACAGGUAAGAAAACUAAAACACAGGUGUAAAAUGUUCCCCACAACCACUGCUGCCCUAAACUACUUUAGGCAUAAACCACAUGUGGUUUCAUAAACAGUUUUGGUAAACCACAGGGUCUCAUAAACAGUUUUGGUAAAAUGCUGAGAGGGGAUAGUUCCCUUGACCCCCUUUGCGGGCAGGAACUGGGGUGGCUCGUUUCACUCAGCCCACCACUGGCCACUCCUCGCAGGAAGGAGAGUGUGAGUGAGCGAAUGCAGGAACCCAAGCGAAUGAAUGCUAGAAAUGGAACCGGCAGGUCACUCCUCUCUGGUGGGAGCAGGCUCUGUGUGGGACCCACAGCAGCAUCCAAGUGUGUUACAGCCAGUGCUCUUUCAGCUCUGCCAUCAGGAUCAGCCAAAUGCCAACCAGCUCAGUGGAGGGUCAGGGUGGCAGCCUCUGCCCUCUCGGCACCCAGGUUCUUGUCCAGCGUCCAAGAAGAAUCAGGUCACAUGGACUGUUUGAAAUGUGAUGAAUGCGGAAGACUUUAUUGAGUAGUGGGUGGCUCUCAGUGAAAAGGAAGGCUGGAAAGGGGAUGGGAAGGUGAUCUUUCCCUGAAGUUCAGCCAUCUCCGGCCGGGCCCCUCUCUGAAGCCACGCUGUCUGAAGUCAGCCACACCUAUCCAUAGCCUCUGAUGCUCAGUUGCUUCUCUGCUCACUCCUCAGCCACUUGUAUCCUCUGCUCACUCCUCAGCCGCUUGUGUUGUUCUGCCAGCUAAAGCUUUUUAUGGGCAUAGGAUAUGGGUGAGGCAGGCCAAAAAGGCAACAUUUGGACAGAAAAAUGGGGUCAGCUGUUUUCACUUAGGGGACAGUUCCAGGCUUAAGUGUGGGGUUUAGCUGGAAGCCCAGCCCUCUGUAUCAGUACGAUGGUUAAAAUCAGAAACUUUGGGGCCAAAUACAGUAAAACAUGUGGGGGUGGGGAGAGGGGCUGUUAGGGAGGAGGGUUAAAUAAGCACAGUCCACAUACUGCACAUCAGAGCUGUUUCUACCCAAUGUGAACUGCAUGGGUGUAAGGAACAUGGCUGUGCUUUGGUCAAGGAUAGGCCGAGGUAAGAUGUUUACAUCCCUGUGUGUCAGCUAGUUCAGAGCACAGGUGUAUAACUCCACUUGUUAUCAUAGCCAGGUAGCCAACACUAGAUGGGAAGGCCAUCGCUUGGCUCUACACCACUAUUGUCUAUAAAAGGCAUAAUUGCCCUGUUGACACUGCGCAGGUGCACUGGCACCCAGAGAAAGAGAGAGAGAGAGCCAAAGCUGUCCAUCUGCAAGAUGGACAGAGGGGAGCCACGGCACAGCUCGUGCUGGUUCCCAGAGAGAGAAAGGGUUGAGUUGCUGACCCUGAAGGCAAGAGAGAGCAGGCCACGCAGCUGUGUGUGGGGGCCGCCGGACCAAGCAGCUGAGACAGGGUGGACAGUGUGAGAAAGCUGUUGAUAAGAGCUGCUGCUGAAUAAAAUAAUUCACCUGC
Symphalangus syndactylus (siamang) is the source of this 4138-nucleotide long non-coding RNA. RefSeq lists it as uncharacterized. The record is from RefSeq and is a predicted model, not a curated record. NCBI's taxonomy places the organism in Eukaryota, Metazoa, Chordata, Mammalia, Primates, Hylobatidae.